AUUGAACGCUGGCGGCAUGCCUUACACAUGCAAGUCGAACGGCAGCACGGGUGCUUGCACCUGGUGGCGAGUGGCGAACGGGUGAGUAAUACAUCGGAACAUGUCCUGUAGUGGGGGAUAGCCCGGCGAAAGCCGGAUUAAUACCGCAUACGAUCUACGGAUGAAAGCGGGGGACCUUCGGGCCUCGCGCUUUCGGGUUGGCCGAUGGCUGAUUAGCUAGUUGGUGGGGUAAAGGCCUACCAAGGCGACGAUCAGUAGCUGGUCUGAGAGGACGACCAGCCACACUGGGACUGAGACACGGCCCAGACUCCUACGGGAGGCAGCAGUGGGGAAUUUUGGACAAUGGGCGAAAGCCUGAUCCAGCAAUGCCGCGUGUGUGAAGAAGGCCUUCGGGUUGUAAAGCACUUUUGUCCGGAAAGAAAUCCUUGGCCCUAAUACGGUCGGGGGAUGACGGUACCGGAAGAAUAAGCACCGGCUAACUACGUG
This 486-nucleotide ribosomal RNA is filed under the name uncultured bacterium. RNAcentral describes it as "partial 16S ribosomal RNA". It matches the Rfam family "Bacterial small subunit ribosomal RNA", at positions 30 to 507 of the family's 1533-position model. The record is from RNAcentral.